GAAGCACAAAGGAAGAAUUUCUGGGACUUAGUGAGCUUGGUUUUGAACGUAUUGUGUGGGAAGUAUUUGGGGACACUCAAGGAGAGGGGUGUCAGCUAAAAGAGGAGGUUGGACAAGAAGAUCUCGGCAAGGCCCACUGGCUGGAGAUAGCAGAUUUAGAAGUCCUUGUUUCCUGGUGGAGGACAAAGCAUUGGAGAGAUCAGUCCAGGAGAGCACUGGUGUGGGAUGAGGAGAAGGGAGUCAUUCUGGAAUCUCUUGGAAUCUCAGCAGAACAGAAAAGAUCCAGGAAAUGAUGCCAGGAUUUCAAUGACCCAGAAGGGUCACAGAGGCGCUUAGAGGGGAAUUCAGUUCUGACCUCUCCACCUCAAACUUGGGCUCGUCCUCUCCGAGGCAGGAGGCCCAUCUGAUUCUGUGUGGGUAGAGCGGCAACUGGGAGCUGACCGAGAGAGGCAGGGACAAGAAGGAUCACAGCGUGGAAGAAGAGGGGACAUAAGCUUGGCAUUCAGGAUGAAAGGGCUGUUAAAUGAGAGGUGUUACUGUGGCUUCUGAUUAGGGGCCCCAACCCUGGGGUUGACCGUUGUUCACUGGUCUCCCCUGUAGCUUGUGUGGGGGCACAGACCAUCCCCAAGCCACAGAAGAGAAGAACGGGAGCAGACUGCUCUUCCCGCCUCUACGGGGAUGCAGGACUUUGCUUCACAUGGGCUGCAGGAAGAAGUAAGAAUAUUGCCCCCUCCCUCACCACCAGCAGCCUGUGAAGGAUACACAUUGUACAUGCGUAAUCGGGGGAACCCUCAGGGCAGUGACUGACACAGAGCAAAUACUCAAGAACACAUUCUUGAUUAGAAAGCAUCUUCAGGCCCUGUCCCUCCAGAUAAGUCCUAGGACCUGCACUCCACUCCGGUGUUGGCUCACGAGUAUAAGGGAGCAGAAAUGCUAGAAGACCUGUCUUUGAAAGCACCUGUGGAUUUGCUUGCCUGCUUUGGAUCACUUAGGGCAGGCUUGAACAGCCUCUUAAUAGGUUAGUUUUGUGGUUGGUGAAUUCCUCCAGCAGGGUAAGUGGAUUUCAUUUAGCUAUGCAAAGGAAGAAAGGCAGUCUGCUGGCCCUGGGGAGCAGCAAACAUCAGACCAAGCUGAAGGACUUUGAAGUUGCCCACUGGCCUAGAAACCCUCUUGAGAAACUGACUCUGCAGGUUUGGUGCACACCUUGUUUUAUUUUGUUAUCCCCUCAGCCAGACUCACAAUCUGUUUCAUUCACCUGGAAAGCUGCAUUGUCUUGACAACCAGGAGGCAUUCAAGAGAUUGCUGGCCCCUGGGGCUGCUGUGUAUUACCAGAUGGGCAGAAAGGACAUCGGCCUCUCAGAUGGGCCUUCACUGGUGAAUAGAAACGCAGAACUGAGACGAUUUUCCAGAUUGUUCUGAUAAAUAGGAACUAUAUGUGCCCCAACUAUUUGGGGUUAUAAUUUUUCGAUAGAGGCAAAAGUGAGGUAUUCCAGUUCUUUACUACAGGCUUAGAGAAACCGUCUCGGGAUUUAACUUGCCAACCAUUUAUGGAGUUUCUGAUGCACAAGAGAAAGGGUCUGGUUCACCUGCAGUGACUCUCAGUUCCUUCCUGCUCCUGCUCCCUGCUUUAACUACCUGCUUUAACUACCACGUUUAUAGGCACUUUUAGUCUUUAUCUUGCUAGGAUUGUCAUAUUUAGCAAACAAAAAUAGGGGACAUACUUAUACUAAAAAAAAUUCAUUCCUAUCUGAAAUUCAAAUUGCACUGGGCACUCUGCAUUGUAUCUGGCAACACCGUGUCGUAUAGUACUUGUCUGCCCACUCUUACCUAGCAGCUGUUCCUUGUUGAAAUGAUUUCCUUCUUUAACAAAUGCAACAUUGACUGACAUCGCUCUCUCCUGGUCUUUUGCCUUCUCUCUAGAUCACCCCUUGAUCUUUUAAAUGUUGAUCUCCCACCUCUGUUCUCUCUCCCUCACUCUUCCCAGCAUACCUUCAGCACAGUCAUGACCUCAGCAGUGGUCUUGUUAUAUCGAUGCGUCUGCUUCCAGCCUAGAGAACACGCUUGCUGCACCCACUCUAAAUCCCUAUUCCUCGUGGCCUCUUGGGCAACUCCAACCUGUUGCAAACUCAACAUGUUGCAAAUUUUACUCAUCUGUUCUUCUCUAUUUCUGCUCCUAUCUUAGUGCAUUUAGAAUAAUCUCCAACCCACUGCCAAGUCUGAAACCCAGCAGUCCCUCUCGAGUCUGCCCUCUCCCCCUGCCACAUCCAUAAUUUGUCUCCAUGCAUGAUGGAUUCUAUCUUCUAAAGUUUCCCUGACUGUCCCCUACUCCCUCUCUGCCAUUGCCCUAUCAUAAACCAUCAUCAUCACUCACCUAGAUCACCGCAGUAACCUCCCAAUUGGUCUCUCUGCCUCCCUUCCUCCUCCCUACCAUCUAUCUUUCACACCGUCCACUGAAGAACAUUGCUAACACGAAAGUUGCAUUAUGCCCUUCAUUGGUUUAUUGGUUUCAUGUCAACCACUGGGUAGCUUGUUCUUUUGGCCUCUUAACCUCUGGUGAAUUCCCACUUCUCCAAGUUUAUCCACUGACACAAAAACAACCCCAGCCAUAGUGAAGACACAGUCCCCUCCCCAUGCACUUGUAUGAUCUCAUAGUCGGAUUUCAUAUAUGCCAUGGCUCUUUCUGCAAUGCACUUACUUUCACUUGAAGCCACAGAAAGCUAUUCACCCUCCCAGCCUCAAGUCAGUAUUUGUCUCUUGGCAGAAGCCUUCCUAUAUUCUCUAAGAAGACCUGGUUGGGGAGGGAAGCGGUGAUCCCCACUCUGUGUUCUCCUAGCUACUAGAGUCUAGCACUUGUACUAACCUUUGUUAGAAAGCUCUCUAAGGCAAUGACCUGUUUGCAAGGCUUGCAUGUCCUGUAAUAGUUUGCAUAUUAUGUCAGAUCCUGAGUUCUUGGAACACAAAAACCAUACCUUUUGUUUGGCUUAGAUUUGUUAAUAUUUAGGACUUUUAAAAAAAUCUGUAAGGAUACAGAAACUAAUACAACCAACAGCUGUGUUCCUAUUGCCCUGUGUUGACCACCAUUAAUACCAUGUUGUAUUUACUGUCAAUCUCACCCCGUUGAUCCUCCUCUCACCCCUCAGAGGCCAAAUUGGAAGCAAAAGAACCAGAUGAAGGGAUCCCAUAGUAGGUAUUUCAGAAGUGCCAGAGCAGGGCACGGGUGCAUCUGGGAGGAGCAGGAAAUGGGUGAAAUGUAAUCAGUUCUGGCAUUCUUGAAAUGAGGUGUGGAAUAGCAGAAAUCAGCAUUUUUUCUUUAAAAAAACCCUAUUUCCCCAGAGACUGAUGGCCCACCUGAGCUGUACACUGGUGGCAAACUGGAAACAUUUAAAUGAAAGAAAAAACCUUACUUUAUGUGGUUUUGGCUUUUGGAAAAAGUGAUUUUGAAGAACAUGCCCACACAUGAAGCCCUUGGGAAACUCACUUUGACUUCAUUUCGGUGGUUGUUCAAAAAAUUGUUUCAACCAGCUGAGAAGACUGGGCACCCAAAUCUUAACUGGGAUUACCUUUGGAUAGGAGAAUUGGAAGUAACUUUUUUUCCUGUUUGCCAAUCUGCCUUUUUUACAACAAUGAAGAAGAAGGAAGUUGCUUUAGAAACUAUACUCGAGGACAAUUAGAUAGUUUGGAAAUUUUUUCAUGAGAGACGUAGAGGAUUUGAAGAGAGGGAGAUUAUCUGUUGACAGCCUAGAAUUUGAAGCUUGAACUUUAAUAAAUUUCUCCUUGUCAGUGUUAUGGAUUGACUGACUGUACCAUUCAGGGAACAAACAGCUGACCUCAAGUCACAUGCCAAUAUAUUCACAAUUAAACAAUCACCCAAGAAGCUAUAGAGCACACAAAAUGCGUCGUGGCUAAAAAUAAUAAACAAAUGAAGCUUCUGUGUUUUCUUGCCUGAGAACAAGGGGCCUGUUCUUUUAGAUUUUUAUAGUGAAAUAGUGAGACUCUGUGGAAAAAAAUACAGUUGGGAAAUGUUCUCAGUGAAACAUUGGGAAUGCAUCAUAGAAUCUGAGGGCUUCUGACUUGACCUGUGAUCAGCUAAGAAGGAAGGAUUGGCUGUGAACAGGUGACCUGUGGAUCUCUGGAUUACCAAUUCAAUACAGAAA
Molecule: long non-coding RNA, 4154 nt
Organism: Mustela erminea (ermine)
Lineage: Eukaryota; Metazoa; Chordata; Mammalia; Carnivora; Mustelidae
Exons: 3
Source: RefSeq, a predicted model, not a curated record